AUACGUAGGUGGCAAGCGUUGUCCGGAAUUAUUGGGCGUAAAGCGCGCGCAGGUGGUUCCUUAAGUCUGAUGUGAAAGCCCCCGGCUCAACCGGGGAGGGUCAUUGGAAACUGGGGAACUUGAGUGCAGAAGAGGAUAGUGGAAUUCCAAGUGUAGCGGUGAAAUGCGUAGUGAUGAGGAGGAACUCCAGUGGCGAAGGCGACUGUGUGGACUCUAACAUACACUGGGGCGCGAGAGCGUGGGGAGCAACCAGGAUUAGAAACCCUGGUAUUCCCCGCCGUAAACGAUGAGUGCUAAGUGUUGGGGGGUUUCCUCCCCUCAGUGCUGCAGCUAACGCAUUAAGCGCACCGCCCGGGGAGUACGGUCGCAAGACGGAAACUCAACGGAAUUGCCGUGG
Molecule: ribosomal RNA, 397 nt
Filed under: uncultured bacterium
Lineage: Bacteria
Description: partial 16S ribosomal RNA
Rfam family: Bacterial small subunit ribosomal RNA
Source: RNAcentral